GGGGAUGACGUCAAAUCAGCACGGCCCUUACGUCCGGGGCUACACACGUGUUACAAUGGGGGGUACAGAAGGCAGCUAGCGGGUGACCGUAUGCUAAUCCCAAAAGCCUCUCUCAGUUCGGAUCGAAGUCUGCAACCCGACUUCGUGAAGCUGGAUUCGCUAGUAAUCGCGCAUCAGCCACGGCGCGGUGAAUACGUUCCCGGGCCUUGUACACACCGCCCGUCAAGCCAUGGGAGCCGGGGGUACCUGAAGUACGUAACCGCAAGGAUCGUCCUAGGGUAAAACUGGUGACUGGGGCUAAGUCGUAACAAGGUAGCCGUACCGGAAGGUGCGGCUGGAACACC
RNAcentral lists this ribosomal RNA (344 nucleotides) under Bacteroides fragilis str. 2-F-2 #4. RNAcentral's name for it is "bacterial SSU rRNA". It matches the Rfam family "Bacterial small subunit ribosomal RNA", at positions 1175 to 1527 of the family's 1533-position model. RNAcentral also lists the same sequence under 1 other name. The record is from RNAcentral. Lineage: Bacteria; Pseudomonadati; Bacteroidota; Bacteroidia; Bacteroidales; Bacteroidaceae.